This 253-nucleotide ribosomal RNA is filed under the name uncultured bacterium. RNAcentral describes it as "partial 16S ribosomal RNA". It matches the Rfam family "Bacterial small subunit ribosomal RNA", at positions 524 to 776 of the family's 1533-position model. The record is from RNAcentral.
UACGUAGGGUGCGAGCGUUGUCCGGAAUUAUUGGGCGUAAAGAGCUUGUAGGCGGUUUGUCGCGUCUGCCGUGAAAAUCCGGGGCUCAACCCCGGACUUGCGGUGGGUACGGGCAGACUAGAGUGUGGUAGGGGAGACUGGAAUUCCUGGUGUAGCGGUGAAAUGCGCAGAUAUCAGGAGGAACACCGAUGGCGAAGGCGGCAUCCUGGACCGGUAUUGACGCUGAGGCGCGAAAGCUAGGGGAGCAAACGGG